UCUAAUGUGGCAGAAUAAGUGUAAUGGAUUUAAGCCCCAUCUAUAAAGAAUAUUUCUUUUAUUAGAA
Molecule: transfer RNA, 67 nt
Filed under: Timema californicum (California timema)
Lineage: Eukaryota; Metazoa; Arthropoda; Insecta; Phasmatodea; Timematidae
Description: tRNA-Leu
Source: RNAcentral